Thalassophryne amazonica is the source of this 961-nucleotide non-coding RNA. The record is from the annotation of a RefSeq genome assembly. NCBI's taxonomy places the organism in Eukaryota, Metazoa, Chordata, Actinopteri, Batrachoidiformes, Batrachoididae.
UGCUGCAUCGUUGCUUUACAGAAUCACGAGAAUGACUCAAAUUCUCAUCUCAUGUAUUUUAUCGUCUUUGUGGCUACAAGGUCUCUUCCAGGAUGUGAUCCAGAACCCUGAAAUCAGCUUCAGCUUUGCGUCCCAAUCUGCAGAGAUGAACUGCAGCCACAAGAAAGAUGCUGGUCACAACCAGAUAUACUGGUUCAGACAGCGUCCUGGAGAAACCAUGAGACUGGUGGUCUACACAGCUUUUGGUUUGGAACCAGAAUAUGACAAGACCUCUGAGAACAAAUAUUUAGCCAUCAAAGAGAACGUGGAAAGCGGGGCUCUCACUGUGAAGAAGCUGGAGCCCGGUGACAGCGGCGUGUAUUUCUGUGCUGUCAGCAAACACAGUGAUAGUGACCCCUCUUACUUUGGAAAGGGAACCAAACUCACUGUUUUGGAACCAGGCCAUGACAUCACACCGCCAGAACGCGUAUCAGUGUUUAAGCCAAAGGGGUGCAAAAACAAGAAGGUGACGUUGGUGUGCGUGGCCUCGGGUUUCUAUCCAGACCACGUCACUGUGUCCUGGAAGAUCAAUCAGGACAAAGACACUGAAAAUGUGGCGACUGACGCCAUCGCCCUGCGGGAAGGUAAAUAUUACAGCAUCACCAGCAGGCUGAAGGUCACGGACAGCAUGUGGUUCACAAGGAGCAACAAGUUCACCUGUGUGGUCGAUUUCUUCAACGGAACAGCAACAAAAUCAUAUUAUGGUUCAAUUUACGGUGAAGAAGUGAAAAGAACAAACCUGGCAACAGGUAUCAGAAGAGUCACACGAGACGAGUACGUGAGGGUCAUGCAGAUGGCCAAACUCUCCUACUGUGUGUGCAUCUUCAAGAGCUGCAUCUACGGAGGCUUUGUGGCCUUUUUGGUCUUGAACCAUCAGAGAUUCGCUGGAAAGCAGUGUGACUGAGAGCUGUGAUCAAGCCCC